AUGACCUCCACGUGCCGCUCCAUGACCACCUCGACGUCCUCGUAGGUUUCCCUUUUGCUCUUUCCGCAUCUGGGUUUAACGGCAUGUUUGACCUAAUAAUGGGUAAAUGUGAGUGCAGGAAAUGGAGGAAAGAGAGAAGGUGGUGAGGCACAUGUGGGACGUGUACACGAAUAACCGUAGGAUCAGGUUGCCUCGGUUCUGGCAAGAGGCCUUCGAGGCUGCGUACGAGGAUUUGAGCAGUGACGUGGCGGAGGUUAGAGACGCUGCCAUCGCCGAGAUCGCUAACAUGUCUCUAAGCUCCUUUGAUAUUCAAUUGCCUCCUGUCACACAUUCUACGGUUUUUACUUCUCCUCCUUCUUAUUAAAUUUAUUGAACUCGAUUUAUCUGUGCCACUGCUUUUUUUUUUAUUAUUAUUAAGUAUUAUAUAACGAGUGAUCUUAUGAAGUAAAGAUUGGUUUGAAUUCCGAUCAAAAGUCGUGUCAGAUAUAACUUUUCACGCAGUUGUGGUUAAAACCCUAUACACUAAUGGUGCAUUUAUUGUUUCCUCUUUGAACCGUGUAAACAUGUUUUACAUUAUCAUUCACGUUCCUUAAUUUUGUUGACUGUUAUUUUAACUAUUUUAAUAACAUGAUUUCUUAUUAGCAGUAAAAGCUUUUAUUAUACUAACUUAUGCUUAUUGUCCACGUAUCUUUUAAGGUUUUCCGUUAGGGUAGUUAACUUGCGUUCAUGAAAUUUUUUUGAAAUGAAUCCUCUUGAGGAGGAACUUUUCUUCUAUUAGAUGGUUUACAACGUGGCUUGAUUUAUUUUUUUCAAUUAUCAGUGGAAGAAAGUUUUAUUUUGUUCAUCUUUGUUGGCUUGAUUACAUGUUUUGUUGCUUGUCUUGCUACAGUUCUUUGAUCUCUGCUUUGAUUCCAUUUUGACUCUCUUGGUUGUGUUAAAAUGUGCAAAUUGAAUUCCCUCUUGUGGCACUGCUGUUUUUUAACCAAGUCUGAGAAUUUUAGCUUAGGGCUUAAUUCCACCCCUAGGAAACUAACAUAUAAGGUGAGGACUGUCCAUGUUUUGUAUACCUAUUUACACCAUAUCUUAGUCGAUGUGAAACUAGAUAAACUUUCCAACAUAGCUAUUUAGGCAGCUCAAAGUAGCCGCAAGGCAGGGGUGACCACAAUUAAGGGGACUUUCCAAUCACUGAGAUAUUGCUACGUAGGGAACAUUUACUGCUACUGAAAAAUUAUCUGUUAAUGGGGGAUUUAAUUCCCAUCAACUUGAAAAGCCGGUGCAUAGCAUUGUUGAAAUAGGAACUGGGCGUCCACAAUAAUUAAAGGAGACAGAUGCGUAGGCCUCCCCUUUCUGCCCUGUCCUGGUGCCCCGUGCCUUGCUUACUCGUGCAAGAAUUGAAUCCCAUUCUGCGCAUUAGUGUAAGAGACAAAAUUGGACAGUAUAUGGAUUGUUGAAUUGUGUGAUACAAUUAAGAUAAUGUGGAAGUGUGGUCAGGAGGAAGGACUGCUUGGAAAAGAAAAUAAAAUGAAAAGGAAAAGUAUCUUGAUAAUUGUUGAGAUUGAAUUUCUUAUUUAGUCUAGUUGUUAUUGAAUUUCCAUUAUUACUGGUUGAAAGAGAUCCUUGGUGCGACCAUUAGAGUUGCUGCCAUGUAAUUCUGCCUGCGAUAUACUCGUAGUGGUGAGAGCCUUUAGCACCGUAUUCAGUAGCCUCUUUUUUAUAUAAUUAUUAGUUAAUUUAGGUAGAUUGUUUAAGUAUCGUAACUGGUGGUGACUCUCAAGGAUGUAAGCGUUUACAGAAAACAGACAGCUGUCUGCAAUUGUAAUUUGUGAUUUAGGGUAGCCGGCAUAACAUUGAAAAUUAAGUGUCUCCCCUUGUCUGAAUAUGUUGAGAACAUUCAACAUUAGUAUUAUUUCACAUUUUUCUUCCACAUAAAAGGGUAAGUUAAUGGGUGAGUUUUACGAGUGAACUUGUUUGUAUGAACAAUGUGGGGAUCAUAUAUGAUCAGAAGUGUUGGUAAGGCUUAUAAAUAAGACAUAAAUUCACUUGUGAGUUUUGAUGUUGUUGGUAAGUUGAUCUAAUGUUUUUCUCUUUAUUUACAUUUUUUGGGUAUUAAGGACGGGUAAAUUAACUUGUUUAUGUUUAUACUGAAUUUUUUAAGGAAAUGCUGAAAACAACAUAAAUUUAUAUCUUAUACUUCUUUAAGAAAAUCAAGAAAGCAAGAAAAGAAUGUAAAAGUUCAUCAAGAAAUGCCCCAACAUCCUUGUCUUAACCAGUUUCUUUGACUUGCUAGAAGCUGAUGCUUCAAUCUAGAUGUUUUUCGAAUGCAUGUAUCACUGCAUUUAUGUACCAUUUCAGAGAGCACAGGAAGUUGAUAAGAACCUGGAGCAAUUGGAGAAAGGUAAAGGUGCAACCUCCGAACGUGCAUAGAUAUUGGAAUGUGAAGCAACCAAAGGAUCGUGUUACCUUAUCU
Molecule: long non-coding RNA, 2467 nt
Filed under: Vigna radiata
Lineage: Eukaryota; Viridiplantae; Streptophyta; Magnoliopsida; Fabales; Fabaceae
Description: long non-coding RNA (VRAD_LNC005819)
Source: RNAcentral